This 1517-nucleotide unclassified non-coding RNA is filed under the name Limulus polyphemus (Atlantic horseshoe crab). RNAcentral describes it as "uncharacterized LOC106467776, transcript variant X1". Lineage: Eukaryota; Metazoa; Arthropoda; Merostomata; Xiphosura; Limulidae. The record is from RNAcentral.
CCCCCACUACUAGAAUAUUGAAAAGAAAAACUGUGAAAGGAGUUCAGUGUUUUCAAGUUGAGUGGUGUAAAACAGGUACUGAAGAUCAUCUGCCUGAUGAUUACUUGUAUGUUACUGUGGAACCUGAAAUUCUCUUCUCCACAGCAUAUUCCAGUAUUACAGAGAAAUUUCUCACAGAAGAACUGGAAAAGAAAGAAAGACUUAUAAAGGUAAAACUAGGAAAAAACCCUCAGUGGAAGACAAGGAAGAGAAUGUAGUCUCAGUUGCCUGUGGGGGAGAAGAACCCAGGAUGCGAAGAUAUCCGAAAAGGAGAUCUAAAGAAAAAGAAUCCAAGAACACCACCCACCCAAAAAACCAGAUGGUAAUACCUAAACCAGUGUUGUCUGAGAAAAAGCCACAAUUCAAGUUCACAAGACUUCAGUUGAGGAGAGCAAGUUGUGGCAGAGGUACCACUACAUAUCUGGACAUGGUUACUGCAGCACUGACAGUAUACAGUGGUCAAUCCAAGGGAGUUUCUAAGCAGCAAAUAGAAAACUUUCUGAAAAGUAAUUACAGAGUCUCCUCCAACAUAAUAAGCUUCAAGUCCUCUCUGAAAAAAUCUCUACUACAAGGGAUGAGUAAAGGAGUCUUCCAAAAAAUAUCUGGUCCAAAGACUGGUACCAGUGGAAGUUACUGUCUCUCCCAUCAUUCUGUAUAAUAACUGGUUUACAUGAACAAAAGUUAAAACAUUAUUGUUAUAAAUAAUUGUUAAUACAUUUUAAUCUUUAACAGAAAACAUUUUCAUUAAGACAUUUGCUAAGAAUGUUUUAAAUCUGAAGAAAAAAACAUUGAAUUAUAAUUAAUAUAAGAAAUAAGAUAUUUUUAUCACAUAAAAAGCUAUGUAUAAAUAUUGCUACUUAUUGCAAACUGCAUUAGUAGUUUUAUCAUAAUGAACAUUAAUGUCUAGUUGUGGUAUUUCUCCAACUACAUAUUGCUUCAAAUCAAAUGUUAAUAUAAUAGUCUUAACUCACCACUAUUACUAUGUAACUAAGGAGAUAAUGGUUAUAAUAACAAACAAACCAGUUUAUCAUGAAAACAGUUAAAAUAUUCUAAAUAUGGAAAAAAGUCAGUUUAAUUGUGAGAACAACAUCAGGUUUUAUAAAAUAAUAUAAAAAAUUUAUUUAAAUAAACAAAUGAUGGAAGUGAAAGGACUGGGGUAGGUUGAUGUUUGAUUUAAAUAUCAAUGAAUGAAAAGUUUUAGGUAAUGUUUUAUAAUUUUCACUUAUUAUCUUGAUUACUAGAGAUACGAUAUUUUAUUUCUUGUUUUAUAUGAAGCAUAAAAAGUAUGUGACAGUAUAUUUAUUUUGGGAAUAUUAUGUUUUGAGCUAGAGCUCUUUGUUAAUUUAAUUGAAGAAUUUAUUCUUUAAUUUGUUGCCAUUAUGGAUAGAUUUAUUUACUUUUUUACGUUCCUGCAAUUCUGUCGUUUGACAAACAAUGUUUUUAACAAUCAAGAACAUUUCUAUCUUUACCAAGUUUGU